Molecule: ribosomal RNA, 331 nt
Filed under: Salmonella enterica subsp. enterica serovar Thompson
Lineage: Bacteria; Pseudomonadati; Pseudomonadota; Gammaproteobacteria; Enterobacterales; Enterobacteriaceae
Also listed under: 1 other name
Description: bacterial SSU rRNA
Rfam family: Bacterial small subunit ribosomal RNA
Source: RNAcentral
CAAGGCGACGAUCCCUAGCUGGUCUGAGAGGAUGACCAGCCACACUGGAACUGAGACACGGUCCAGACUCCUACGGGAGGCAGCAGUGGGGAAUAUUGCACAAUGGGCGCAAGCCUGAUGCAGCCAUGCCGCGUGUAUGAAGAAGGCCUUCGGGUUGUAAAGUACUUUCAGCGGGGAGGAAGGGAGUAAGGUUAAUAACCUUAUUCAUUGACGUUACCCGCAGAAGAAGCACCGGCUAACUCCGUGCCAGCAGCCGCGGUAAUACGGAGGGUGCAAGCGUUAAUCGGAAUUACUGGGCGUAAAGCGCACGCAGGCGGUCUGUCAAGUCGGA